AGGGUUUGAUCAUGGCUCAGAACGUACGCUGGCGGCACGCCUAACACAUGCAAGUCGAACGAAGUAGCAAUACUUAGUGGCAGACGGGUGAGUAACAUGUGGGUAUCUGCCCUUUGGCCUGGAAUAACACGAGGAAACUUGUGCUAAUACCGGAUAAGUCUUUACGGAGAAAGCUUUAUGCACCAUUGGAUGAGCCCGCACUUGAUUAGUUUGUUGGUAGGGUAAUGGCCUACCAAGACUGUGAUCAAUAGCUGAUUUGAGAGGAUGAUCAGCCACAUUGGGACUGAGACACGGCCCAAACUCCUACGGGAGGCAGCAGUGGGGAAUAUUGGACAAUGGGGGGAACCCUGAUCCAGCCAUGCCGCGUGUGUGAAGAAGGCCUUAUGGUUGUAAAGCACUUUAAGCGAGGAGGAGGCUACUGAGAUUAAUACUCUUGGAUAGUGGACGUUACUCGCAGAAUAAGCACCGGCUAACUCUGUGCCAGCAGCCGCGGUAAUACAGAGGGUGCGAGCGUUAAUCGGAUUUACUGGGCGUAAAGCGUGCGUAGGCGGCUUUUUAAGUCGGAUGUGAAAUCCCCGAGCUUAACUUGGGAAUUGCAUUCGAUACUGGGAAGCUAGAGUAUGGGAGAGGAUGGUAGAAUUCCAGGUGUAGCGGUGAAAUGCGUAGAGAUCUGGAGGAAUACCGAUGGCGAAGGCAGCCAUCUGGCCUAAUACUGACGCUGAGGUACGAAAGCAUGGGGAGCAAACAGGAUUAGAUACCCUGGUAGUCCAUGCCGUAAACGAUGUCUACUAGCCGUUGGGGCCUUUGAGGCUUUAGUGGCGCAGCUAACGCGAUAAGUAGACCGCCUGGGGAGUACGGUCGCAAGACUAAAACUCAAAUGAAUUGACGGGGGCCCGCACAAGCGGUGGAGCAUGUGGUUUAAUUCGAUGCAACGCGAAGAACCUUACCUGGCCUUGACAUACUAGAAACUUUCCAGAGAUGGAUUGGUGCCUUCGGGAAUCUAGAUACAGGUGCUGCAUGGCUGUCGUCAGCUCGUGUCGUGAGAUGUUGGGUUAAGUCCCGCAACGAGCGCAACCCUUUUCCUUACUUGCCAGCAUUUCGGAUGGGAACUUUAAGGAUACUGCCAGUGACAAACUGGAGGAAGGCGGGGACGACGUCAAGUCAUCAUGGCCCUUACGGCCAGGGCUACACACGUGCUACAAUGGUCGGUACAAAGGGUUGCUACACAGCGAUGUGAUGCUAAUCUCAAAAAGCCGAUCGUAGUCCGGAUUGGAGUCUGCAACUCGACUCCAUGAAGUCGGAAUCGCUAGUAAUCGCGGAUCAGAAUGCCGCGGUGAAUACGUUCCCGGGCCUUGUACACACCGCCCGUCACACCAUGGGAGUUUGUUGCACCAGAAGUAGGUAGUCUAACCGCAAGGAGGACGCUUACCACGGUGUGGCCGAUGACUGGGGUGAAGUCAUAACAAGGUAACCGUA
Molecule: ribosomal RNA, 1476 nt
Filed under: uncultured bacterium
Lineage: Bacteria
Description: bacterial SSU rRNA
Rfam family: Bacterial small subunit ribosomal RNA
Source: RNAcentral